Physella acuta is the source of this 418-nucleotide long non-coding RNA. RefSeq lists it as uncharacterized. Lineage: Eukaryota; Metazoa; Mollusca; Gastropoda; Physidae. The record is from RefSeq and is a predicted model, not a curated record.
AUUUCUUAUCUCCUCCUAAUUUUGGUAUAGUCGGUUAAGUAUUUUUUAUUCAACCGUCUUAUUCUUGGCAAGCAGCAGGAGAAACUUCUUAGAUUCACGUCAUGAACUUUACGCUUAUUAUAGUGUUGCUGGUACUCAUAUCAGCCGCCUAUGCCUUUCUGGCAUCCCCCUGUCCCCCAGAGUGUGACUGUGGGCCGGGCUUUCAUUGUGCUAUAGGCAACAACAUCUGUGGCUUCUACUGUGUCCAGUCAGUGAACAUACACACCUAAAGCUGGUCGAAAGCGUAUCAUUAGUUCCAGAACUCUAAGACGUCACCAUGUUUAAUCAAAGUUAAGAGUAUUCGAAACCUCGUCAGAGCGACAAUUUUGGGGGAAAAAAAGUCUGUCAAUAGUUUCUUGUCAAUAAAAGCAAUAAGAUU